RNAcentral lists this ribosomal RNA (497 nucleotides) under uncultured bacterium. RNAcentral describes it as "partial 16S ribosomal RNA". It matches the Rfam family "Bacterial small subunit ribosomal RNA", at positions 28 to 507 of the family's 1533-position model. The record is from RNAcentral.
GAUGAACGCUGGCGGCGUGCCUAAUACAUGCAAGUCGAGCGAACAGACGAGGAGCUUGCUCCUCUGACGUUAGCGGCGGACGGGUGAGUAACACGUGGAUAACCUACCUAUAGGACUGGGAUAACUUCGGGAAACCGGAGCUAAUACCGGAUAAUAUAUUGAACCGCAUGGUUCAAUAGUGAAAGACGGUUUUGCUGUCACUUAUAGAUGGAUCCGCGCCGCAUUAGCUAGUUGGUAAGGUAACGGCUUACCAAGGCGACGAUGCGUAGCCGACCUGAGAGGGUGAUCGGCCACACUGGAACUGAGACACGGUCCAGACUCCUACGGGAGGCAGCAGUAGGGAAUCUUCCGCAAUGGGCGAAAGCCUGACGGAGCAACGCCGCGUGAGUGAUGAAGGUCUUCGGAUCGUAAAACUCUGUUAUUAGGGAAGAACAAAUGUGUAAGUAACUAUGCACGUCUUGACGGUACCUAAUCAGAAAGCCACGGCUAACUACGUG